RNAcentral lists this long non-coding RNA (1832 nucleotides) under Homo sapiens (human). Its description in RNAcentral is "HSALNT0007920". The record is from RNAcentral. Lineage: Eukaryota; Metazoa; Chordata; Mammalia; Primates; Hominidae.
GUCAUUCUAACAUAAGGAGAAGAUGCAUUUUCCUUUCAAAAAUUGAGGUCUCUUUGGGCAAACUUUCAGUCCUUUGGCUAUUAGGGUUUGUCUUCAUGAAGGCAGACAUAAAGCAAUUCUGUUCUCUUCCUUAUUUGAACACUUUCAGUCUUCACCUGGCUCUCUGCCACCCCAGCUAAACCACUUGACCUCUGAUUACAUAACAGUCCCCAUCUGUGAGCUCAGCCAUCCUCAGGAGAUAGGAGGGGCCAUGAGAAGCUCAAGUUCACCAUGAGCCACAGCAGUAAGCCAUGCUUUAGCCUCUGACCUGUGCUCCAAUUUUGGUACAAUGAUUUCUGCCAUGUUCUCCAACAGGGUGAGGAAACAGACAGCACUAAGAGAAAAAGCUGGAACUCAAAACCAAAUUAACUCCAAACUUAAGUUUUCCCACUUCGACAAGGAUGUAUGUCAUAAAAGUUGGAUGCCUUCCUUUCAAGACAUUUGAAUGGAUCACCAAAUAAUUACCUACUUUUCUCUCACAACUCAGAUAAAUAAUUAAAAGGAGAUAUACACAGAUUGGUUGCAUACUUAAGAGUGAGAAUCAAUUAAAACAAAAUUGUAUGCAUGUUCUUCUAAUAAUAUAUCCCUACAGGGACCAUGAGAUGCUACCUUUACAUUUGUAAAAUUACUGAGGUCAGAUCAGAGCCUUAAUGCUAUUUCUCCAUGAGCAUUCAGAAGUGGUUGUGCAUAGGCGUUAUGUGGAAUUGGGGCUGGGGAAGAUUUAAUUGGCAAUUUUUUAGUUAUUUAGUUUUAGUUAUGCCCCAGAAACCAGAAAUGGUCACUGAAUAUUUAUUGAGCAUGCCUAGAGUGGAAGUUUCUUAUUUAAGUUGGUAUUUAAGUUGGGACUGCAGUAAGGGGCAUCUUUCACAAAGAAACGUUUUGGGAUUACCUUUAAAUAACAUUUAAAUCCCCUUCAUUAAUUGUCUCAGAGCUCUCCGGUGCAACUUAACAAUAGGAAGCAGCUGUGCUCCAAACAAAAGAACACACAGCUCUGGGAAGAUGCCACCAUUUGAGAAAUCACACAUCAUAAGGAAAGGUUGUUACUUCUAAUUUAGUUCUGUGGACCAAUUCAAGUUUGGGGGUUCCAGAAAGCCUGAAACCCUACCUCUCAGGGCUGUGUUUUAAUAUUAGGGAACUGUCUAAUUUGUGCUUCAGGAAGUUCUGUGCAUUUUUACGAAAUCCAUCUCACCGAAGCCUUUUAGUUAAAAGGCUUGCGUAAUUGUGCACACAGAUAAAAACUGCACUCAUGAUAUUACAUAUUUUACUGCAUUCUCCCUUGAAUCUAUCUGCCCAUUAUUAUGGUUAAUUAUGCAGAGGUUUGGUUCUCUAGCUGGAGGGACAGCUAGUUGAGGGUGAGCUAGUUGAGGACCUUUAUUUUUUUCCCUGCACCUAGUUCAGUAGCUGACAUAGAAGGGCUUGGUAAAUGCUGGCUCAAUUAGAUUUUUCAGAACUUUCUCAGACUAAUGUUUGCUUAUCACCGCACACAUGUACAAGAACUACUUGAAACUCUUGAAAAGGAAAUUUAGUCCUUUAAGGGUUCAGAAAUAACAAUGAAAGAUAACAUUCUCACCAAAAAACAAAAAAGCUCAAAACCAGGAAACACUUGAUACAGGAGCUCAUGAGAAUACUUAUUCUCUCAUUUAUUAAACUAAGAAAGUUCUCAGGAUCAUGUUGGCAGUAGACCAUUUCUGGCCCUGAGAUGAAUGCCCUUUUUCCAAGUUAAAACCAUGGCCCAGCUGUGAAAUAAUGAUGGCUGCAAGGAACCCAAUGGUGGCAGCAAACUCAACUCAAAG